Molecule: ribosomal RNA, 649 nt
Filed under: uncultured bacterium
Lineage: Bacteria
Description: bacterial SSU rRNA
Rfam family: Bacterial small subunit ribosomal RNA
Source: RNAcentral
AGAGUUUGAUCCUGGCUCAGGACGAACGCUGGCGGCAGGCCUAACACAUGCAAGUCGAACGAGAAGCCAUCCUUCGGGAUGGUGGGCAGUGGCGAACGGGUGAGUAACGCGUGGGAACCUGCCCUUCGGUACGGGACAACCACGGGAAACUGUGGCUAAUACCGUAUAUUCCCCAAGGGGGAAAGAUUUAUCGCCGAGGGAUGGGCCCGCGUCCGAUUAGCUAGUUGGUGAGGUAACGGCUCACCAAGGCUCCGAUCGGUCGCUGGUCUGAGAGGAUGAUCAGCCACACUGGGACUGAGAUACGGCCCAGACUCCUACGGGAGGCAGCAGUGGGGAAUAUUGGACAAUGGGGGCAACCCUGAUCCAGCCAUGCCGCGUGAGUGAAGAAGGCCUUAGGGUUGUAAAGCUCUUUCAGCGAGGAAGAUAAUGACGGUACUCGCAAAAGAAGCCCCGGCUAACUCCGUGCCAGCAGCCGCGGUAAUACGGAGGGGGCUAGCGUUGUUCGGAAUUACUGGGCGUAAAGCGCGCGUAGGCGGUUUGCUAAGUUGGGCGUGAAAGCCCGGGGCUCAACCCCGGAACUGCGUUCAAAACUGGUAAACUAAAGGCCGGGAGAGGAGAGCGGAAUUCCCAGUGUAGAGGUGAAAUUCGU